This is an RNA transcript of Mus musculus (house mouse), 3539 nucleotides long. It is a transcript of the gene named MYCBP associated protein, with no coding region annotated. The record is from RefSeq and is marked validated. The transcript is spliced from 18 exons. Lineage: Eukaryota; Metazoa; Chordata; Mammalia; Rodentia; Muridae.
GGUAACGGGAAAGUACAUCUUCACGAGAACCAAAGGCAGCAUGUCUAUGCAAAGACCCCAAAUCUGGUAAAAGUCUGACUGGCCUAGGAAGUGAUGGCUGAUUAGUGGGCAGGGCAGAUGACAGGCCGGUGGAGGCGGAGUCUGGGGCACUUAAACUAGGAAAAGUAGUCAAUGCAUGGUCAGCCUGGUGUGAGAUGAGCGUGCCGGAAGCCUGAAGACUGGUCAGCAAGCGGUGACCCAGAGCAGAAACAUCUGGGGAGUCUAGGUGGGAGAUCCUAUGGCGGCCGAGGUUGCUACUGUCCCCAUUCCAGUCACUCAGCUUCGGCCAGUUCCUACAGCAACCCUUUGUCAGGCCCAGUCGAUGACGCCUUGGCGCUCUUUAGCGCCUCCUGUGACGUCAAGAGUCUGACCGGGGCAUUCUCGGGGUCUGCGAACAAGCCUAAGGAGCCGCUUGCGGUGCAGGAGCGCGUCAUGAUGAAGAAGAUUACUGAAAGGCAGUCCCCGCUCAAGUUGCUCGAAAAGAAGCGGGCGAAGGCACCUGAACAGCCCACUCCCCCCAUUCAGGAAGAGCCUGAGCCUGUCAGCAAUGUCUUACAAGGAGAUGACAUUCUUGCCUUGGCCAUUAAAAAGGAAGACUUGAGGAAGCAACAUGUUCCUCAGUUUGAAGAAACAGGAGAAAAGCCUGUGGUCACACAGAAAUUUAUCAUCCGUAAGCUCAAACCGAAAGACUCUAGCAAAAGGGUCUACCACUUGGUAGCACAUCCUGCUACUCCAGAUGCCGCCACCAAGCCUCUGGACUACUCCGGUCCUCAUGACAGCUUCUUAAGCAGUGGCCAGAUCCUCCCUCACCAGAUCUUGGGAAGUCUCCAGGACUUUAAAAGAAUCGCGGUUGCUCGAGGGAACACCCAGCUGGCUAAGCUGAUUCACAUCCAGCCCUGCCUGAUGACCCUCAUCUCAGCCAAAGAAGAGCCAAAGCCAAAGCCCCCCAAGGAGGAGGAGAGACCUUCUCCAUGGGCCCCACCUCCUCAGCACAACUUCCUAAAGAACUGGAGACGGCACAUUGCCUUGCGGAAGAAGCAACAGGAAGCUCUCAGCAGUGAGCUGAGCCCACUAGGGACCUGCCAGGGUCCCUCCAUCAGGCACAGAGGCUCUUCUGUGUCUUCUCUCUCACCCGCCCAGACUCCCACUAACUAGCAUUUGCCCCAUGACAGCUUCUGGCUUUCAGGCCUCAGUGGGUUCUGAAAUGAGGCAGGGAGUGGGCCACCCAAUUCAGAGUGCGAGAGCUUGUGUGUUCUGUUUUUGGUACCAUGAUCACAGUCUUCCUUCCUUCUCUCCCGCUCUAGAGCACCUGAAGAAGCCAGCCAGUGAGCUGUUGAUGCAUACCGGGGAGAGCUAUAGGAAGAUCCAGGAGGAGCGCGAGGUCAUUGACCGUGCACUUCCCACCCAGCAUGACGGAAAAGCAACCAGUUGGUUCUGGAGUCCACUGGAAUACCUGGGUGAUGAGAUGACAGGUCUUCUCAUGACCAAAAAGAAAACUCAGCGUGGUCUGGUGGAACCCAUCACACACAUCAGGAAGCCCCUCUCCAUCCAAGUGGAGACUGGAUUACCAGCCCAGAAGGAUGCUUGGUACCGCUACACCUGGGACCGGAGUCUGUUUCUGAUCUACCGACGCAAGGAGCUGCAGAGUAUCAUGGCAGAGCUGGAUUUCAGCCAGCAGGAUAUUGAUGGCCUGGAGGUGGUGGGCCAUGGGAAGCCCUUCUCAUCUGUCACAGUGGAAGAACAUUUGCCACCUGAAAAGAUCCAGAAGAGCUCCUCGGAAGACACGGUAUUUCUAGACUCCUUGACCAACCUCUCCGACAUGGUCCCCAUGCCUAUUCUCGGCCCUUCGCUGCUGUUCUGUGGGAAGCCAGCUUGCUGGGUCAGAGGCAGUAACCCAGAGGACAAGAAAAACAUCGGAAUUGGUGUCCGCCUGACAUUUGAAACCCUUGAAGGGGAGAGAACGUCCUCAGAACUGACUGUGGUCAAUAACGGCACGGUGGCCAUUUGGUACAACUGGCGAAGGCGGCCCCACCAGGAUUUUUUCCAAGACCUAAAGCAAAACAAGACGCAGAGGUUUUACUUUAACAACCGGGAAGGUGUGAUUCUGCCCGGGGAAACCAAACACUUUACCUUCUUCUUCAAGUCUCUGAAUGCUGGCAUCUUCAGGGAAUCUUGGGAGUUUGGGACCCACCCUACACUCCUGGGAGGUGCUGUCCUUCAGGUCACCCUCCAUGCCAUCUCACUGACCCAGGACAUUUUUAUGGAUGAGAGGAAGUUGUUGGAGACAAAGCUGGCUGCCCACGAGGCCAUCACCAUUGCCCAGAGCGUGCUGCAGGACUUACUGAGGGGCAUCUCCACGCCAGAGCGCACACCAUCCCCGGUGGACGCGUAUCUCACCGAGGAGGACUUGUUCAACUACAGGAAUCCUAGGUUGCAUUACCAGCAUCAAGUGGUGCAAAACUUGCACCAGCUGUGGCAACAGUACAGGAAGGCCAAGGCAACCCAGAAGGAAACCCCCAGCCUCAGAACUCCAGUGCCGUUACUGUUGGUGGAGAAGGCCUCAGGUUCGAUAAGCCCCAGGAACCUGGUCUCAGAGUACUCGCAGCUGUCACCGCAUCAGGAGAUGGACACCGCCAGGAAGACUCGGGACUUCUUCCUGUCUCUGAAGUCUAGCAUAGGAAAGAAGAGUGUGGCACGGAAGAGCAUUAUGGAGGAACUGCUGGUGGAGGAGGGUCCGGACAGGGAGACCACCCAGCGCCCCUGGGCUCUGAAAAGCAUUUCCCCGCCUAAGUGGAACCUGUGUCUAGAGGACUUCAGACAGGCAGUGAUGACCUUCCCCGAGGAGCUCCAGAGAGAGGAUGCCCUCAUCCAGCUCAAUAAGGCGGCAAUGGAGCUGUGUCAGGAGCAGAAGCCACUGCAGUCGGACCUCCUAUACCAGAUGUGUCUGCAGCUGUGGCGAGACGUGAUUGACAGCCUGGUAAGCCAGUCCCUGUGGCUAAGAAAUCUUCUGGGCCUGCCUGAGAAGGAGACGGUUUAUUUGGAUCUUCCAGAUGAACAAGGUCAAAAAUCCCCUCCAGUCACAGAGUCGAAGGUGACAAGUGGGAAAGCUGGGAAGGAGGAUCGGAGAGGGGGCGCACAGGAGAAGAAACAACUGGGACCGCCCGAAUAGCAAAAAACUGAAGCCAAAAGAUGACAAGAAAGUGGUAAAGUCUGCAAGCCGGGACAGGCUGCUCUCAGAAGAUCCUCCCCCUGACAGCACGGCACCCUCCCAGGAGCCCAUAGACCCCCUGGUCAUGGAGAAAUAUACCCAGCGGUUGCACGCUGAGGUCUAUGCGUUGCUGGACAACCUGGUGACAGAUGUGAUGGUCCUGGCUGAUGAGCUCAGCUCUACAAAGAAUGUUGAAGAGUCUUUACGUUUUUGCAGCUGAUUCUUGGACCCAAGCUUCCUCCUGGGAAGAUGGUUUGAAAAAAGUCAAUAAAGAAUCUUUAGGUUCCUACCA